This 399-nucleotide ribosomal RNA is filed under the name uncultured bacterium. RNAcentral's name for it is "bacterial SSU rRNA". It matches the Rfam family "Bacterial small subunit ribosomal RNA", at positions 29 to 432 of the family's 1533-position model. The record is from RNAcentral.
AUUGAACGCUGGCGGCAUGCUUUACACAUGCAAGUCGAACGGCAGCGGGUCCUUCGGGAUGCCGGCGAGUGGCGAACGGGUGAGUAAUGCAUCGGAACGUACCGUGUAAUGGGGGAUAACGUAGCGAAAGUUACGCUAAUACCGCAUACGCCCUGAGGGGGAAAGCGGGGGAUCGCAAGACCUCGCGUUAUACGAGCGGCCGAUGUCGGAUUAGCUAGUUGGUGGGGUAAAGGCCCACCAAGGCGACGAUCCGUAGCGGGUCUGAGAGGAUGAUCCGCCACACUGGGACUGAGACACGGCCCAGACUCCUACGGGAGGCAGCAGUGGGGAAUUUUGGACAAUGGGGGCAACCCUGAUCCAGCCAUGCCGCGUGCGGGAAGAAGGCCUCGGUUGUAACCG